Molecule: long non-coding RNA, 996 nt
Organism: Gasterosteus aculeatus aculeatus (three-spined stickleback)
Lineage: Eukaryota; Metazoa; Chordata; Actinopteri; Perciformes; Gasterosteidae
Source: Ensembl
CGUUGCCAGGUUGCAGGAGUGGUUUGAUAAUGUGUUCUCUCCCUUGCCAGGCCGGACCAACCUCAUAGUACACAGUAUCGAGACGCCCCCGGGCGUGAAGGUGAGGUCACGACCCUACAGGUUGCCGGAACACAAGAAGGAAGUGGUUCGGAGGGAAUUGCCGUGUAUGUUGGAGUUGGGGGUGAUAGAAGAGUCCAACAGUGCCUGGUGCAGCCCCAUCGUCCUUGUGGCUAAGAAGGAUGGAUCGGUACGGUUCUGCGUGGACUAUCGCAGGGUGAAUGACGUGUCACAGUUAGAUGCCUACCCAAUUCCCCGGGUCAACAAGCUCCUGGACCGGCUAGGCACUGCACGUUUCUUUACGACACUGGAUUUAACCAAGGGCUACUGGCAGAUUCCUCUGUCGCCAGAGUCCAAGGAGAAAACUGCAUUCUCCACCCCGUACGCACCACCUGGGAGGAGCAUGGGCGGGGUCACCGGCAACCCAGGGAAGUGUGCAGUUGGACGGGUGGAGGUACGGUAUUUGGUGUACCACUUGGGGGGCGGGCAGGUGCGCCCUCAGGUGGACAAGACGGCAGCUAUCGCGGCCUGCCCGCGGCCCAAGACAAAAAAUGAGGUGAGGCGGUUCUUGGGGCUGGCGGGGUAUUACACGCGGUUCAUCCCCGACUUCGCGGACCUCACAAGCCCCUUGACUGACCUGACCCGGAAAGGUGCGUCAGAUCCGGUCCAGUGGUCGGAGCAGUGCCAGCAGGCGUUUGAGAAGGAGAUCGGAGCAAGGCAAUAAUCCAUACGGCACAUGUGAGACCAGCCAUCGGUGAAAUGUUAUCCAAGGUAACGUUGCUGCCCACAUUGGAGAAGAAGCCUUGCUGAAUAUCUUACAUGUCAUAAAUUCAGAGACUAUGAUGUAGAUGUUCGACCGUGAAGCAUAACUGGUGUUCGUGUCAUCUCAAUCUCGCAGACCUCUGAGCAGCAACUCGACACAUGACUUGUACGAGCCGU